Molecule: ribosomal RNA, 253 nt
Filed under: uncultured bacterium
Lineage: Bacteria
Description: partial 16S ribosomal RNA
Rfam family: Bacterial small subunit ribosomal RNA
Source: RNAcentral
UACGGAGGGGGCGAGCGUUGUCCGAAGUUACUGGGCGUAAAGCGCGCGUAGGCGGGUGGGUAAGUCCGCUGUGAAAGCCCGGAGCUUAACUCCGGAGGGUCGGUGGAUACUGCCCAUCUUGAAGGUGCUAGGGGGAGAUGGAAUUACCGGUGUAGCGGUGAAAUGCGUAGAGAUCGGUAGGAACACCAGUGGCGAAGGCGGUCUCCUGGAGCAUACUUGACGCUGAGGCGCGAAGGCUGGGGGAGCGAACGGG